Molecule: ribosomal RNA, 449 nt
Filed under: uncultured bacterium
Lineage: Bacteria
Description: partial 16S ribosomal RNA
Rfam family: Bacterial small subunit ribosomal RNA
Source: RNAcentral
AGCGAACGCUGGCGGCAGGCCUAACACAUGCAAGUCGAACGGACCCUUCGGGGUUAGUGGCGGACGGGUGAGUAACACGUGGGAAUCUGCCCUUGGGUUCGGAAUAACAGUUAGAAAUGACUGCUAAUACCGGAUGAUGUCUUCGGACCAAAGAUUUAUCGCCCAAGGAUGAGCCCGCGUAGGAUUAGGUAGUUGGUGGGGUAAUGGCCCACCAAGCCGACGAUCCUUAGCUGGUCUGAGAGGAUGAUCAGCCACACUGGGACUGAGACACGGCCCAGACUCCUACGGGAGGCAGCAGUGGGGAAUAUUGGACAAUGGGCGAAAGCCUGAUCCAGCAAUGCCGCGUGAGUGAUGAAGGCCUUAGGGUUGUAAAGCUCUUUUACCAGGGAUGAUAAUGACAGUACCUGGAGAAUAAGCUCCGGCUAACUCCGUGCCAGCCGCCGCAGUAA